GUCUCUGUGGCGCAAGCGGUUAGCGCGUUCGGAUGUUAACCGAAAGGUUGGUGGUUCAAGCCCACCCAGGACC
RNAcentral lists this transfer RNA (73 nucleotides) under Saccoglossus kowalevskii. Its description in RNAcentral is "tRNA-Asn". It matches the Rfam family "tRNA". From Rfam's summary of the family: Transfer RNA (tRNA) molecules are approximately 80 nucleotides in length. Their secondary structure includes four short double-helical elements and three loops (D, anti-codon, and T loops). Lineage: Eukaryota; Metazoa; Hemichordata; Enteropneusta; Harrimaniidae. The record is from RNAcentral.